Dipodomys ordii (Ord's kangaroo rat) is the source of this 127-nucleotide small nucleolar RNA. Its record names the gene SNORA63. It matches the Rfam family "Small nucleolar RNA SNORA63". From Rfam's summary of the family: E3 belongs to the H/ACA class of snoRNAs and is involved in the processing of eukaryotic pre-rRNA and has regions of complementarity to 18S rRNA. The record is from Ensembl. Lineage: Eukaryota; Metazoa; Chordata; Mammalia; Rodentia; Heteromyidae.
AUGCAGGCACAGUUACAAUAUAACUGAAGUGUUCUAUUGUCGUUCCCCCUGCUUAAAGCAUAUGAUACAUUACUAUCUCUGUCUAGCUUUAUUCCAUACUAAGACAGAGACGCUUGGUCUCAAACAU